GCCUGUCAGCUAGCGGAAGGGAUGUUUAUUUAUCUGGAAUAGAUAAUGGUACAAAUGGUAUCGGAUGUAUUUGUUCCGUUAGUUUAGUUCCUUAUAAUCAGGAACAAGGGGACAUUGAAAUAAGGAAUAUAACCACUACCUCCAACCUGUGUGACUAUUCAUUAUAUUCUGUAUAUAGAAAUAGUAGUAAAAGGUUGUAUUCGUGUGGUGAUAAUUUAAAUGGACAUAGAUUUGAUUUGAAACCUAUGGAAACUGUGAGAUUACAUAUGGGGGCAGGUACUUAUAAUGGUGCUGGAUUUCCUUUUUGUCUUCUGUUUAGUGAUAGAGGUUCUGAAAUAAAACUAGAGUGUAGGACUACACCACAGUCAACAACAACAACAACCAAUACGUCACCAACAACAUCAACAUCCAUGAAAUCUUCCAGCACAAAAUAUUUCAUGACGACAAGUUAUGACACUCAAAAUAUACCAAUCUCCAGUACAAGGAGAAAUGAAGAUACGACUGAACCACAACCACACGAUAGUGAUUCUGAUCGAUUGAUUGCUAUAAUAAUUGGUUCAAUUCUAGCUGUUCUGAUUGUGGUAGCUUUAGUUAUUAUAAUUGUCUGUUUGGUGAAAAGACGAAAGAAAGAUGUCAUAUAUGAAACGCCACGACAACCACAACAGAGUUCACAUAUCUAUAUGGAUUUAAAUGUUGAACCCGGUAACAGUGGAACGAAACAAAACAACAUUUAUGUGAACAGCGUGGUGAUUUAAAAAAUAUAUAUAUUGACUUUUAGUAGAUGGGAAUAAUUGGGACUAAGUCUUCACCAGGAUAAUAUUACAGGUUUCAACAACUUGUCACUCAAAAAGUGAUGUAUUGCUUUUAAAAUGACUACGCAAAGCAUGUGUUCUCUAUGACAGAAACUAAUGAAAUAUGGCGUAAUCGUGCUGAUUCACAAACCAUUAAAUCCUCUAUGUACUCUCAUUACAACGAUGUGUAAAACUGAAUGGCGACUUUUCAGAUGCGUUCACAAAAAUGAAAUGAAAUGGGGUUUAACGUCCUACUGUUUUGCUCCGAACUGGGCUAAUGAAGACGGGCAUGCGCCAUACAGUGUGCUAUGAGGGAAAUUUUGCCCGAACAGCGGCACUACGGCUUACUCUUAUAUCGAAUUCCAACUGUCAAGGGAUCUUUUACGUGCACGCCAAUGUGUACACGGGACCUCGGUUUUUCGCCCCAUCCGAACGAAUGUUUUUAAU
Patella vulgata (common limpet) is the source of this 1238-nucleotide long non-coding RNA. RefSeq lists it as uncharacterized. NCBI's taxonomy places the organism in Eukaryota, Metazoa, Mollusca, Gastropoda, Patellidae. The transcript has 4 exons. The record is from RefSeq and is a predicted model, not a curated record.